GACGAACGCUGGCGGCGCGCCUAACACAUGCAAGUCGAACGAGCGAUAGAGAGCUUGCUUUCUCGAGCGAGUGGCGAACGGGUGAGUAACGCGUGAGGAACCUGCCUCAAAGAGGGGGACAACAGUUGGAAACGACUGGUAAUACCGCAUAAGCCCACGGCUCGGCAUCGAGCAGGGGGAAAAGGGGCAAUCCGCUUUGAGAUGGCCGCGCGUCCGAUUAGCUAGUUGGUGGGGUAACGGCCCACCAAGGCAACGACCGGUAGCCGGACUGAGAGGUUGAACGGCACCAUUGGGACUGGGACACGGCCCAGACUCCUACGGGAGGCAGCAGUGGGGAAUAUUGCACACUGGGGAAACCCUGAUGCAGCGACGCCGCGUGGAGGAAGAAGGUCUUCGGAUUGUAAACUCCUGUUGUUGGUGAAGAUAAUGACGGUACCCAACAAGGAAGUGACGGCUAACUACGUG
This 465-nucleotide ribosomal RNA is filed under the name uncultured bacterium. Its description in RNAcentral is "partial 16S ribosomal RNA". It matches the Rfam family "Bacterial small subunit ribosomal RNA", at positions 28 to 507 of the family's 1533-position model. The record is from RNAcentral.